Molecule: long non-coding RNA, 241 nt
Organism: Nilaparvata lugens (brown planthopper)
Lineage: Eukaryota; Metazoa; Arthropoda; Insecta; Hemiptera; Delphacidae
Exons: 2
Source: RefSeq, a predicted model, not a curated record
AUUAAAAUAAGAUACCUUAGGGAUAACAGCAUAAUAAAUUUGUAAAGUUCAUUUAUAUAAAUUUGAUUGUGACCUCGAUGUUGAAUUAAUCUGGAAUUCUGGGGCAGAAGAUAGAAUUUUAGAUUAAUUCAACAUCGAGGUCACAAUCAAUUUAUAUAAUUAUGAACUUUACAAGUUUAUUAUGCUGUUAUCCCUAAGGUAUCUUAUUUUAAUAAUCCUAAAUUAAGUUUCAAAUAUACAU